RNAcentral lists this ribosomal RNA (520 nucleotides) under uncultured bacterium. RNAcentral describes it as "bacterial SSU rRNA". It matches the Rfam family "Bacterial small subunit ribosomal RNA", at positions 8 to 524 of the family's 1533-position model. The record is from RNAcentral.
AGAGUUUGAUCCUGGCUCAGAUUGAACGCUGGCGGCAGGCCUAACACAUGCAAGUCGAACGGUAGCAGGAUGUGCUUGCACAUCGCUGACGAGUGGCGGACGGGUGAGUAAUGCUUCGGGAUCUGCCUCUGUGUGGGGGAUAACUAUUGGAAACGAUAGCUAAUACCGCAUAAUGUUUACGGACCAAAGGGGGCUUUUAGCUCCCGCGCAGAGAGGAACCUAAGUGAGAUUAGCUAGUUGGUGGGGUAAAGGCUCACCAAGGCGACGAUCUCUAGCUGUUCUGAGAGGAAGAUCAGCCACACUGGGACUGAGACACGGCCCAGACUCCUACGGGAGGCAGCAGUGGGGAAUAUUGCACAAUGGGGGAAACCCUGAUGCAGCCAUGCCGCGUGUGUGAAGAAGGCCUUCGGGUUGUAAAGCACUUUCAGUUGUGAGGAAAGGUUGAUGGUUAAUACCCAUCAGCUGUGACGUUAACAACAGAAGAAGCACCGGCUAACUCCGUGCCAGCAGCCGCGGUAAU